ACAAGAUACAUGGAGAAAAGUUUUGCUUUCAGAGAAACCAAGGUAAACCAUCAAGUUGAAAUUCAGUACAAUUCACUCUGUUAAUAAUGGAGAUAAAAAUGGCUCAUAAGAAUGAUGUUUAUCACAUCAUGAGUUUUAGAUAAAAAAAAUGUGUAUAAGGGUCCAUAAACAUGUUUAUCACAUGGAGAAAAGUUUUGCUUUCAGAGAAACCAAGGUAAACCAUCAAGUUGAAAUUCAGGACAAUUCACUCUGUUAAUAAUGGAGAUAAAAAUGGCUCAUAAGAAUGAUGUUUAUCACGUCAUAAGUUUUUGAUAAAAAAAAUGAGUAAAUAAGGGUCCAUAAACAUGUUUAUCACAUGGAGAAAAGUUUUGCUUUCAGAGAAACCAAGGUAAACCAUCAAGUUGAAAUUCAGGACAAUUCACUCUGUUAAUAAUGGAGAUAAAAAUGGCUCAUAGAAUGAUGUUUAUCACACCAUAAGUUUUAGAAUAAAAAAAGUGUGUAUAUAAGGGUGCAUAGAACAUAGAUUAGGACCUCGUGGGACCUUCAACCUUUUAGAAGGUUAGGAACCGGUUCAGGGUGCGAUGGUAAGCCUUAUUUCUUAAGAGCAUCAAGAGUUCACUAGAGCUUAAUGGAAGUUAAUUAAUUCCCUUCGUUGUUUUCAAAUCACCUACCUCGAGAUGAUCAUACAUACGAAAACAAAUAGUGCAGCUCAUUGCAUCUAUUUUGCAAAUGAUUCUAAGAUUAAAUCCUAGUUCAUCAGAGCAAACCAGAUAAGCAUUCUAAAAACAAAUUACUAAAAAAGAGGUGGUAGCAAUUCAUAUAGAG
This 825-nucleotide long non-coding RNA is filed under the name Populus trichocarpa (black cottonwood). RNAcentral's name for it is "long non-coding RNA (PTRI_LNC002609)". The record is from RNAcentral. Lineage: Eukaryota; Viridiplantae; Streptophyta; Magnoliopsida; Malpighiales; Salicaceae.